AAGAAAGUUACUAAGGGCGCACGGGGGAUGCCUUGGCUCUCAGAGGCGAUGAAGGACGUGAUAAGCUGCGAUAAGCAUCGGGUAUUGGCAAAUACGAAUUGAUCCGAUGAUUUCCGAAUGGGGAAACCUAACUAGUUGAAGACUAGUUGUAAAAUACGCUAACCUGCCGAACUGAAACAUCUAAGUAAGCAGAGGAAGAGAAAACAAUAGUGAUUUCGUAAGUAGUGGCGAGCGAACACGAAACAGCCCAAACCAAUAAUGUUACGGCAUUAUUGGGGUUGUAGGACAGCAACGUGGACUAUAUGAUUGAAAUGGAAAGUCUUGGGAAGGACUACCAAAGAACGUGACAGUCGUGUACAUGUAAGAUCAUAUUACCUAGCUGUAUCCUGAGUACCGCGAGGUCGGAGACGCCUUGUGGGAAUCUGCCAGCACCAUCUGGUAAGGCUAAAUACUACUGAGAGACCGAUAGUGAACAAGUACUGUGAAGGAAAGGUGAAAAGAACCCCGAACAGGGGAGUGCAAUAGAACCUGAAACCGUGCGCUUACAAGCGGUCGGAGCCCUUAUGGGGUGACGGCGUGCCUUUUGCAUAAUGAGCCUACGAGUUACUUCUCACUGGCAAGGUUAAGUCCUUCAGGGACGCAGCCGAAGCGAAAGCGAGUCUGAAUAGGGCGCAUAGUCAGUGGGAGUAGACGCGAAACCUUGUGAUCUACCCUUGAGCAGGAUGAAGUUGCAGUAACAUGUAAUGGAGGUCCGAACCGGUUAACGUUGAAAAGUUUUCGGAUGACUUGAGGGUAGGGGUGAAAGGCUAAUCAAACUGGGAAAUAGCUCGUACUCUCCGAAAUGUUUUUAGGAACAGCCUGGCGGUUAAGUGUACUAGAGGUAGAGCUACUAAUUGGAUGCGGGGGAGUCAAAUCCUACCAAAUCCAGAUAAACUCCGAAUGCUAGUUACAUAUACGCUGGAGUGAGGCUUUGGGUGCUAAGGUCCAAGGCCGAGAGGGAAAGAACCCAGACCAUCAGCUAAGGUCCCCAAAUAUAUACUAAGUUGAACUAACGGGGUCCGAUUGCAUAGACAGCUAGGAUGUUGGCUUGGAAGCAGCCAUUCAUUUAAAGAGUGCGUAACAGCUCACUAGUCGAGCGAUCGGGCAUGGAUAAUAAUCGGGCAUCAAGUAUAUUACCGAAGCUAUGGAUAGGGAUUAAUCCUUAUGGUAGGAGAGCAUUCUAAACAGCAGUGAAGGUGUACCGUAAGGCGCGCUGGAGCGUUUAGAAAAGCAAAUGUAGGCAUAAGUAACGAUAAUGCAGGCGAGAAACCUGCACACCGAAAGACUAAGGUUUCCUGAUCAACGCUAAUCGGAUCAGGGUUAGUCGGGGCCUAAGGUGUAGCCGAAGGGCGAAGCCGAUGGACAAUUGGUUAAUAUUCCAAUACUAUCUUGUAUU
This 1435-nucleotide ribosomal RNA is filed under the name Solitalea agri. RNAcentral describes it as "partial 23S ribosomal RNA". It matches the Rfam family "Bacterial large subunit ribosomal RNA", at positions 1 to 1455 of the family's 2925-position model. Lineage: Bacteria; Pseudomonadati; Bacteroidota; Sphingobacteriia; Sphingobacteriales; Sphingobacteriaceae. The record is from RNAcentral.